GCAAACUUGGUCAUUUAGAGGAAGUAAAAGUCGUAACAAGGUCUCCGUUGGUGAACCAGCGGAGGGAUCAUUAAAAAUAGAGAUUCUUCUCUAAACACCCUCGCGAUCGUGACCUGAACGUUGCCUCGGCGGGUGGCCGCCCCGGGUGUUCGCCCGGGCGGUCGCUGAGCCCGCCGGUGGACCACUAAACUAUAGCACCUAGAAGCUCUGAGGAUACCUAAAUGAGUCAAAACUUUCAACAACGGAUCUCUUGGUUCUGGCAUCGAUGAAGAACGCAGC
RNAcentral lists this unclassified non-coding RNA (279 nucleotides) under uncultured fungus. RNAcentral's name for it is "partial contains small subunit ribosomal RNA, internal transcribed spacer 1, and 5.8S ribosomal RNA". The stretch from base 1 to 73 matches the Rfam family "Eukaryotic small subunit ribosomal RNA", at positions 1759 to 1831 of the family's 1831-position model. Lineage: Eukaryota; Fungi. The record is from RNAcentral.